UGGCCUUUUUAGCCACCAGCGCACUUGCAGCAAGUGUGGGUAGAGUCCUUCCCAAAUCUUCAUUCGCAAAGCCUAGCCAUGAUGACUUUAGCAAAUUUACAGAUUCAAAACUUCAUGGAGUCUUUCUGGUGGUAGUGGAGUAGAGUCUAGAAGAAAUUGUCACUGUUCAAUGCAAGUUCAGUGUUUGUUGUUCGGGGAUAUGAGAGCUUAAGAUCUCCCCUUUUCUCCCUUUCUAUUCUUUCAUAUUGUUGUUCCUAUUCUUUAGAUUUUUUUCCCUUAUUUUUUAGCCUCUUUGCAGACACAAACCCAUCCUCUAGAAAAGAAGCACGAAAGUCUCUGUAUUCAACAAUGAGGUAUGUUGGGUUAGCUGCAGGAAUCCCAUCACAUCCAAGAAAAGCCAGCCUGUUUCUGGCUUUUCUGGCUUUAAAGGCCAAGCUGAUGUGGGCUACAGACCACUUCAAUUCUUCAUCUGAUGAAAAGAUGUCAUUCCAGACUGCGUAAGACUCAACUUCAUCUGGAUCCUUGCUGCCGUGAAGGUGUUUCAGCCUGCCAGAAAUACAGCCUCAUCAGAGUCCUUGCCACUGUCUUCACUAGGCAAGCAGCCACCCCCACUUGGGGACCUACAGCUUAAGUCCUCCACACCAGACUCCUGAUCACUGUUGGCUGAGAGGUCAGGAUCAGAACUUUUCAGGUUGUCCUGUGUCAAAAUCAGGGCAGAAUCUUCUUCAUCCCCUUGUGAAGGACUCCGGGAUGGGAAUGACUUCAGAUCGUUGCUAUAUUCCUGGGGAGUGUUAGCUAAGCUAUUGUUGGAAGUAGACAGCCUUAACUGUUUGCUUCGGUCUUGUUGCUUACUCUUGACUUUAUUAUCACCUAAUUGUGAUUUCUGAAGAUUCGCCAGUCGCUGAAAUAAAGGAAACAGUAUUACAUGCACACAUUUAGGGCCAGUAAUCCUCUUCUGUGUCUUUGCCUUUUUUUUUUUUAAUAUAAGUUCAGAGCCCAACCCAACUAGCACCCUUUAAAACUGUCUAUGGAGUAUGAGAAGUGCACAAUUUCUCACAAACCAAUGCUGAUUUACAGCAGCCUUCUGAGCUACAAUUCUUUCUGAAUUACAGAAGGAUUAAACUCACUUUCAGUAGUACUUGUGCACCAACACAGGUAAAAUUUCAUCCUUAAAGAAUAAAAGACCACUUCUGUGUCUUAAUGCAAAACAUUCGUGACAAUUUAUCUGAAAACAAAGAUGACAGAUGAACAUCCUCAUUCCAGAAAAGGAUUAGUGUGUAGGUGACUCCGCAGCAUAUGGAAUUGGGUUUCAUUUAUCAUCAGUUACCAAAACUGAGGUAUCAAGCUCAAGUGUUUAUUACCUCUCCUAAGAUCUCCAGCUCUUCUUCCAGCUGCUGAGUUUCUUCCUUCACUGCCAUCAGAUAAUCAGUAACUGACUGUCGAGGAUGCAGCCCCUUUUCAAAGCGGUUGUACAUACCACUCCAGAACCUGGAAUUAAUGGGAAGGUCAGGAAUUUAGUGAGGUAGCAUCAUGAGACAUAAAUGCACACUUUUUUCUUUCUUUUUUUUUUUUUUUCCCCAGACAUUGUUCUAAAUGAUUCAUCCAUGGCUUAUGUGUCUUUAGAGUGCAUACACAUAAAUUCAUAGAGUAUUUGGCAAGAUUUGUUGUUCAUUUGCAUUUGCUCUGUCCUGAAGGUGCAACUCUCUGGACAUAAGCACCUUGAACCAAUUUUGAUAUUUAAUAAAAAGAAAGAUGGAU
Long non-coding RNA from Chiroxiphia lanceolata (lance-tailed manakin), 1758 nucleotides. RefSeq lists it as uncharacterized. The record is from RefSeq and is a predicted model, not a curated record. The transcript has 2 exons. Lineage: Eukaryota; Metazoa; Chordata; Aves; Passeriformes; Pipridae.